UGGAAUUACCGCAGCUGCUGGCACCAGACUUGCCCUCCAAUGGAUCCUUGUUAAAGGAUUUAAAGUGUACUCAUUCCAAUUACAGGGCCUCGAAAGAGUCUUGUAUUGUUAUUUUUUCGACACUACCUCCCCGGGUCAGGAGUGGAGAUCUGAAGAGCACACAU
This is a long non-coding RNA of Dermochelys coriacea (leatherback sea turtle), 164 nucleotides long. RefSeq lists it as uncharacterized. Lineage: Eukaryota; Metazoa; Chordata; Testudines; Dermochelyidae. The transcript has 3 exons. The record is from RefSeq and is a predicted model, not a curated record.